GACGAACGCUGGCGGCGUGCCUAAUACAUGCAAGUCGAACGCAUUUUCUUUCACCGUAGCUUGCUACACCGAAAGAAAAUGAGUGGCGAACGGGUGAGUAACACGUGGGUAACCUGCCCAUCAGCGGGGGAUAACACUUGGAAACAGGUGCUAAUACCGCAUAAUUCCAUUUACCGCAUGGUAAAUGGAUGAAAGGCGCUUUUGCGUCACUGAUGGAUGGACCCGCGGUGCAUUAGCUAGUUGGUGGGGUAACGGCCUACCAAGGCUGCGAUGCAUAGCCGACCUGAGAGGGUGAUCGGCCACACUGGGACUGAGACACGGCCCAGACUCCUACGGGAGGCAGCAGUAGGGAAUCUUCGGCAAUGGACGCAAGUCUGACCGAGCAACGCCGCGUGAGUGAAGAAGGUUUUCGGAUCGUAAAACUCUGUUGUUAGAGAAGAACAAGGAUGAGAGUGGAAAGUUCAUCCCUUGACGGUAUCUAACCAGAAAGCCACGGCUAACUACGUG
Molecule: ribosomal RNA, 507 nt
Filed under: uncultured bacterium
Lineage: Bacteria
Description: partial 16S ribosomal RNA
Rfam family: Bacterial small subunit ribosomal RNA
Source: RNAcentral